CGGCAGGUGGGGGGUGCUAUACAUGCGAGUCGAGCGAAUGGAUUAAGAGCUUGCUCUUAUGAAGUUAGCGGCGGACGGGUGAGUAACACGUGGGUAACCUGCCCAUAAGACUGGGAUAACUCCGGGAAACCGGGGCUAAUACCGGAUAACAUUUUGAACUGCAUGGUUCGAAAUUGAAAGGCGGCUUCGGCUGUCACUUAUGGAUGGACCCGCGUCGCAUUAGCUAGUUGGUGAGGUAACGGCUCACCAAGGCAACGAUGCGUAGCCGACCUGAGAGGGUGAUCGGCCACACUGGGACUGAGACACGGCCCAGACUCCUACGGGAGGCAGCAGUAGGGAAUCUUCCGCAAUGGACGAAAGUCUGACGGAGCAACGCCGCGUGAGUGAUGAAGGCUUUCGGGUCGUAAAACUCUGUUGUUAGGGAAGAACAAGUGCUAGUUGAAUAAGCUGGCACCUUGACGGUACCUAACCAGAAAGCCACGGCUAACUACGUGCCAGCAGCCGCGGUAAUACGUAGGUGGCAAGCGUUAUCCGGAAUUAUUGGGCGUAAAGCGCGCGCAGGUGGUUUCUUAAGUCUGAUGUGAAAGCCCACGGCUCAACCGUGGAGGGUCAUUGGAAACUGGGAGACUUGAGUGCAGAAGAGAGAAAGUGGAAUUCCAUGUGUAGCGGUGAAAUGCGUAGAGAUAUGGAGGAACACCAGUGGCGAAGGCGACUUUCUGGUCUGUAACUGACACUGAGGCGCGAAAGCAUGGGGGAGCAAACAGGAUUAGAUACCCUGGUAGUCCACGCCGUAAACGAUGAGUGCUAAGUGUUAGAGGGUUUCCGCCCUUUAGUGCUGAAGUUAACGCAUUAAGCACUCCGCCUGCGGAGUACGGACGCAGGCUGGAAACUCAAAGGAAUUGACGGGGGCCGGCACAGCGUGGAGCAUGUGGUUUAGUUCAAUGCACGCGAGAGCCUUACCAGGGCGUGGACAUCUCUGACACCUAGAGAUAGGGCUUGC
Molecule: ribosomal RNA, 1000 nt
Filed under: uncultured Bacillus sp.
Lineage: Bacteria; Bacillati; Bacillota; Bacilli; Caryophanales; Bacillaceae
Description: bacterial SSU rRNA
Rfam family: Bacterial small subunit ribosomal RNA
Source: RNAcentral